RNAcentral lists this long non-coding RNA (683 nucleotides) under Vulpes vulpes (red fox). RNAcentral's name for it is "lncRNA (ENSVVUG00000009360.1)". Lineage: Eukaryota; Metazoa; Chordata; Mammalia; Carnivora; Canidae. The record is from RNAcentral.
CCCCCUAGACCGCCCCCUCCAGGCCCCGGGGCGAGAGUCUUAACUCUUUCGCUCCCGAAGACCCAGAGCCGAGGGAGGCCCUGCGGAAACCCUUCCCUUCGCCGCGGGCGCAGGCCGGUUAGAUCCGAGGGGGAAGGACUACAGAAGGAGCCCGAGGGGAAGGGGGCCUGGGGGGGGGCCCUCCACGUCCCCGCCCCUUGGCUUGCCUUGUCUGCCCCCCUUCUUAAGCUUGUGGCAAGUGAAAGAGCCAACUUAGCAGUGGACUGAUCAAGUGUUGCUUUGAUCUCAUUCCUAGAAGCCUGCACCCCAAGGCUCCACACCACUCCAGGGCAAGGCCGGAGAGUCUGUGGAAGGGUCCAGUGUGUGGCUCAGAGAAACUUUGGAUUCCUCAAGAAAUCCAAACACUGAGGGGUGCAGACACUGCAGAAGGAACUCUGCCUAGUUAGAUCUGCUGGAAGAAAAUAUCCUGGCCAGAAGAUUUCCAUAGACAGGAAGAAGGGACACAGCUGGCUCAGCAUUUUUAUAGGUAUUUCCUUAAUUUAUCAUCUUCUACUCUGCCUUCCACAUUUGUUGAUUCAGAGCUUACAGUUUCUCUCUGAUGGAAUCCUUAGAGAUGAAUGUCUCUCACAGCUGUCUUUUCCACACCUAUUGUGUGUUCCAGUUUUCUCUGGUUUGGAUUUUUU